CAAAAUCACCUUAGCGGAUGGACUGGAGUAGCUUUGAGUUUCAAGCGAACCAGGAUAAAAAUACUUGUGUUUUUAUCUCUUUGUUAUUAACAUUUUAGUGGUGUUCUUAAGUUGAGUAAAAUCUCUUGUUUUGUAAAACCUAAUUCAAACCCCCAUUUCUUGUGUUUUUCACACCUUCAGUAAAUCCCUUUUAAGAGGAGGUUACAGAAAAAGAAAGCAAGUAAAUGGCAUUGAAAAUUUAAUUGAAUUUCCAUUAAAUUACAACAUUUUAUAUUUUCCCUUAUGUCCUCUAGCCCUCAUUACUCUGCUUCUAGAGAUGAUGCUUGGAUUGUUCCCUUCCAUUUAAGUUUUAUGGUGGUGCGAGCUUGUAUGCUGCAGACUUAUGCCUUUGAAUAUUUUCUAACUUUUGCAUGAAUCUCUCCUUAGAGUUUCAGUUUAUCAAGAGAUUUACCCUAUUUUGAUUAAGCUUCCCUUUCAGGUUUUCGACUUACUGAGCUUAAUUUUAUUUAUCCCUAAUUUUUGCCAAAGUUUCCCUUGCGGGUUUUCAACUCACCGGGAUGCUCAUUUUUGCCUAAGCCGCUCUUUCAGGUUUUUGACUCAAUGAGCUUUAUUAUCUAUCUCUUUUUUAUUAGGCAUAAUACUUUUUGGUUGGGUUAGAGUUGAUGGGAUGUGUCAACUCUUAUCCAUCCAUAUUUAUGAGAACUAAAGCUCCACCAGAGAAAUCCUCCUUCACCAUAUAUGGUAUUUCGUAGUUAGGGAUCCAUUUUCCGCGAGGAUCUUUUUAGAGGGAGAUUAUUUUCUUCAGCACCAAGUCACCUACUCUGAACUCUCGAGUCGGACCUUCUUGUUGAAUUCCCUCUAUAGUCUUUUCUUAUACAAUUGCCCAUGGCAUAACACGAUCAUUCUCUUCUCUUCGAUCAGAUUGAGCUGGUCAAACUUGGUUUGCACCCAUUAUGCCUCUUCUAGUUCAGUCUCUAUUAGGAAUCUCAACUUCUAUUGGAAGCACUUCUUCCAUGCCAUUGACUAGAGAGAAAGGGGUUACCCCAGUUGAAGUACGAACGAAUAUUCUGUACCCGUGCAAAGCAAAAGGUAGCAUCCUGUGCUAGUCCUUAUAAGUCUUCACCAUUUUCUGAAUGAUCUUUUUGAUGUUUUUGUUAGUUGCUUAUACAUCGUCAUUCAUAUUUGGUAUGUAAGGUGAUGAGUUAUGAUGUUAAAUCCCGAAGCUAUCACACAACUCUCACAUCAUCUUAUUGUUCAGAUUCAACCCAUUAUCAAUGAUAAUCUUGCUAGGAGUCCUAUAAUGACAAAUUAUUUCCUUCUUGAUAAAUCGGGUAACUACUUACUUUGUCACGUUUGCAUAGGAAUCAACCUCUAACCACUUGGUGAAGUAAUCAAUGGCCACCAGGAUGAAACAAUGUUCAUUUAAAGCUUUCAGAUUGAUCAUUCCAAUCAUGUUUAGGCCCCACAUAGAGAAUGAUCAUGAUGCAGUUAAGACAUUCAGAGGAUUAGGUGGCAUGUGCACCUUAUCAGCAUAAGUCUGGAAUUUAUGGCACGUCCUGGCAUAAAGGAUACAAUCGGUUUCCAUCGUCAUCCAGUAGUAACCAUAUCUAAGAAUCCUCUUCGCCAUUGUAUGUCCGAUCCUCUUCGUCAUUGUAUAUCUGUUUGCUUGAAUUCCGAAAGAACCUUCAUGAAUUUAUUUGAUAAGCAUGUAUGUUUUGUGUUUUUCCACAACUUAUGGUUCUUCUCAUAGCUUGGGUAUGAAGUUUCCCUCACAACGUACCCAUAACCAAAAAGUUCAUAUCAAUAUACAAUAGUUGAAUAAUACAGUAAUAAAGCAUAUAAAGAUAAAUACGAGAAUACACAAACACAAACCAAACUAGGGUGGACUUGCUUAGGAAAUGUCCCCAGCAGAGUCGCCAACUGUCGUGGUGCAAAAAAUACCCGUGCGCAUCGCACACUUAAAAUACAACAGAGUCGCCACCGAAUUUUAUUUUCUCCAAAGGAACUUGAAAAUAUUGAUAAAACCCGUUUAAGCUAAGGUAAAUGGUCGUCGCAACCAAAAGCGGGUUCAGGAGUCAGUUAUGCAAGGGAAAGUUAUUAGCACCCCUCACAUCUGUUGUACUCAAGCGAUUCCAUUUAGUUAGUUAUGAGAAUGAGUAUUAGCGUGAUAUUUACUUGUUAAGCGAGAAAAGAUAAAGAAAGACAGGGUUUUUGGUUUUUAGUUUAAUGGGUUUGACGAGAUGAUCCCGCUCCUACGUAUCAUCUGCUACAAUGAGGAACUCAAGACCACGUAGUUCUAUGAAGAAAAUAUCGCGUUAGUUGAUUGAUUUUAAGGAGUGAUGCUUUAGACAUUUUGAGCGUUUAAACCUUUACUUGUUGCUCGCUCUCGGAGGUUGAAGUGUUUGUUUGUUUUGCAUCAAAAUGGAUAAAACAUACUCAUUUCUGAAAAUGGUUUUUGAAGUCACGCAAAGGCAAAAAAAUAAGUUUGAUUAGUUAAGUUGCAUUUAGGUGGAGACAUGCAUUCAAACAGGGAGUUCUACAACGGUAUUCAAACACCUGGGAAAGGAAGGGGCCUAAGCCUAAUCACUCUCUUUUUCAUCCAAAAUUUGUUAUGAAAACUUGUGGAGAAUUAAGUUAAAGUUCAUUAAUUGAGGAUGAUUAUUCACACAAGGAGCUCUACAAGAAUGUCCAAAUAAUCUGAGAAGGAGAAGGUCUAAACCCGGUGAAUCUUUUUCUUCUAUAGGAGAACAAACUUAUUUCGAAUAUUUUUUAUGUUUUAAAACGGAAGACGAAUGUUCGAACAUGUAGCUCUACAACAGUGUUCAAACACUCGGGGAAAGAAAAGGUUUAAAUCCAAUCAAUCAUUUUUCUUCCAAGUUGUUGUUAAAGGCUUUGGAAAUAAACUUGAUGUUUGAUCAAGUGUUGUAAGUUGACUAUGAAAAGAAUUUGAUGUAUUCGAAAUGGAUGCUUAACAUUGGAUCAAACACUCGCGUUAUGGAACAUGGUUUGAUUUAUGAAAAAUACUCAACGUUGGAUCGAGCGUUAUUUAUUCUUUUUUUUUGAAAUGGUUCAUUUUAUGUUAUUCUUGAUUAAUUCUAAAUUAAUAGACAAAAUAGAAGAAACUGCAAAAAUUAUUACAAACUAUGGGAGAGGGCACACUUUUAUCGAAUAGGAAUAAUAUGGAUAAAAAUAAAAUAGGCAAAAAUAAAAAUAAACCAAGUCAUACAAGAAUAAAACUAGGUCUAAAAAUAAAAAGAAAAAACAAAUCACAUGUUUAAAAAUAAAAUUAAUUAGUAAGGUCAACUAAAAUUAAUUAAUAUAAUUAAUCAACUUGCAUUAAUUAAUUAAACUAAGUAAUUCUAAUUAAUAUUAUAAAAAAACUAAUUGGAAAAACCCCAAAAACCUAAUUAUAAACCAAUUAUAUUAACAAAAACUAAUUAUAUAAAACUGAAUAUAAAUCUAAAAAAACUAAAGAAAAAAGUUGAAUUGGUCUAAAAAACAAACAAGCAGUCCAAGGUAGCCAAGGUGGGGGCGUUAUAGUCAGCAAAAAAAUAGGGGUGCGAAGGUAAUUGGGGUGCUGGUUGUAACACCCUAAAAACCCGCGUGAAAUUAUUAAAGAAUUUAAUUAAUGAAAUACAAUCACUUAGGGUGUCACUCAUAACAAUCAUAGUUUGCUCCGUAACACGGGUUACAACAACACAUUUUACUGCAUACACUUGCACUUAGGAUGUUUGCACGACAUCCAACUCAUUUGAAUAACUUCGCAGCGGAAUCAUAAUAAAAAAACAUACCAAUUUAAAAUCUCAUAAUAGUUUUCAUAACAAAAUUAAAAAUACUGACUCGUGAGUCUUCUCCAAGUGAUAUCACACCAAAACAUAAAACAAAUACGAGAACAUGCAUUGUCUCUCAAGAAAUUCCAUCAUAAAAUAAUUAAUUCGCUCCCUAGUUUUACAUAUCAGAGCAUAACCAAAGCUAACACGAAUAAACUAAAAGAAUUAGCUCUAUGAGCUAACUUCCACUCACAACAAUGUAUCUACUCUUGAGUAUCUGCACGAUGCCCAUGUAAAGGCAACAUUCAAACAGAAGGGGUGAGAAUUCAUUUAAAUAAUAACAACAUAAAAUUUAAAAUAGAGUAUAACAUCUACGCAAUCAUGCAUAAUAAUAUAUCACAUUCACAUGCCUAAAUUAUCAUCGACAUCACAUACAACAACACCAUCACCACACAUAGUCAUAUUUCACGCAUAUAUUUCAUUCAUGCUAUAUGACUCACUAUAAAGACAAGGACUCAUAUGCAUAUGGUACCAAUUCAAUAUUUGGUUCUUCUUACGAACCCGAUCCCCCCUUCGAAAUUCUGAACUCCCCCUUCUGAGUUUUGGAUAAGUCUCUCGUCCCCCUUAGGACCUAUGACUUAUCUUCUUCAACAUAUCAACAAUGAAUGUAUGACAUGGUAAUAAUUCAAUUAACACAACAAUUAUAAUAAUAUUUAGUGAUCCAUAAUCGAUCACACAAUUGCAACCAUGCAUAACGUAACUCACCCUUUUGGACUACCACCAAUGCAAUUAACACAACAAUUAUAAUAAUAUUUAAUGAUCUACAAUUGAUCACACAAUUUAAACCAUGUGUAACGUAAUCCACCAUUCUGAACUAUCACAAAUAUAAUCAAACACACCAUCUCAAUCAUUCACAAUACAUCAAAUAAUUUGUCAAUACGGACCUCGUCCAUAUUCAUCACUUCAUACAAUGUUUCCCACCUGCUACCAAACUUUUAUAAAAUUGUUAAAAACAUUUUAUCCUUAAAAUAAAUUUAUAUUCCUCAGUUUCAUUUACCCAACACUAUGGACCCCCUCCAAAAAUGAUUUACAGGUUGAAAGUUAUGAUCAAAAUCGUGCACAAAAGCAUUACCAACAAGUUGUUGUUUUCCUGAAAUUUUCAACACGAUUUUCAUCUUCUCCGACCCCAAAAUCAUCCAUGAAAUCGUCACCAAAAAUAUUUAACCCCUGAAACAAAGUUAUAGUCCUCUAUUUCAGCUAUCCAACGCUUCAAAUCCCGUCCCAAAAUGAUUUUAGAGUUAAAAGUUAUGAUCAAAAUCGUGCACGAAGGCGUUACCAAAAAGUUGUUGUUUUUCUGAAAUUUCCAGCACGAUUUUCAUCUUCUUCAACCCCAAAAACUUCCAUGAAAUCAUCACAAAAAAUAUUUCAUGGUUUUAAACUUAGUCAUAAACAUACAUGUAUGAAUCACUACUUAUAGUCAUAUAAUCAUGAAUCUAUAUACUAUAUCAAUCCCUAAAACCUUCAAACAUCAUCAAUAAUGAACAUACAUGGACACUUUAAAACAUAAAUUUCAUUCAACAAAUGUCAACAUUCAUCAUCAAUCCAAAAAGAAUUAAAUAUUCCUCUACCCAAUCAAAUUUCUAUCCUUACCUUGUAAUUCCACAAAAAUCCAAGCUUUUGACUACGACUUCUCUUCCCUAGAGUUCUCCUUAGAUUUUCCUUACUUUUCUCUUCUCUCGCCUCUUUUUCUCCAAUUCCAAAAGUUUCAACUCACUUCUCUCCUCAUAAAUCAAAAACUUAAUUUUUAUCUUUCUAAUAUUCCACUAAGGCUAAACUUAUUACUAACUUACAUUAUUUAUUUUAAUUCUCCACAUUUCGCACUUUCCACCCCAAACUCAUUAUUAUUAUUUUAUUUAAAUAAUAACACUAAACCAUUAUUUUAAUCAAUUAAAUAAUUCUAAAUAAAUCUACCGACCUCUAAUUACUCUUCACACUCUCUACCUAAGGGUCACUCACCCUUGUUGCCAUAAUAUAUCUCAAUUAUCACACAAAUAAUAAUUAGAUACAUAUAUUAAAUUAUAAUUAAUUAAUAUAAUUUUUUUUAGAAAAAUGGGGUGUUACACUGAGCCAAUGGUUAGAGGGCACAAAUAGUGAGUCAUGGUGUUGACUCAUAUGACAGUGGCCAUUAGAUGCACAUAUCAAGGUGAUCAAUAGGGUAAUCCAACGGUGAAAAGUCUGUGUGCACGAUAAGGAUCAUGGUGAAGCAUGCAAAUUGUAACAUACAUGUGUGGUCCUGCAUGGCCACCACAUGUCUUCUAUCUGAGAACCCAGGGACACACGGAAGAAGCAAAAUGCAGGAUGAGGACUCAUUUUGCCAUCUACACUCUUUCUCUUCUCUUUCACGUCUUAUCUCUUCUCUUCAGUUCUCUCAACACACUUUCCAAAAGUCUUACCUCUCUCUCCUCUCAUCCCAUCUUCGCCGACCAACCUCCGGCGUUGCACCACCACCAAACACAAAAAACCUAACAUGACCUCCCCGUUAAAUCUCUUCCUCCAUCCAAAACCAAAUUUCUUCACCUAGCUUCAACUCAAAAGUUGUGAAACAAAAACCCAACAUAAACUCACCACAAGAAUCGAUUCAAACACAACGAAGAAUAUUGGCAAUGGAACAAGGAAUCACAACACAAUCACAACGCAAAGAUAUUAUUAGAACACAUAUUAAAAUUCGCAGAUGCAAAACCCUAGGUUUACACAAGCAUUUAAUUCACAACAAUUGCAUUAAAAAAUCAAGAAGAAAGGAAAUUAAAACAUGAAGAAAGUACCAAAUGGAAAAGUCGAGUUCUCUGGUGACGCUCUGACGACAGGUAAUUUUGUUUCUUGCUUUAAAUCUCCUUCUACUCCUUAUGUGUGUAUGUUAUUCGUAUAAUUGUUGUUUUGUUACCGCUUUGUUGAUUGUUACUGUGUAUCCGAUGGUGAGUGUGGCUUAGCUCAGGUAUCAAUUAGAGUUUCAAUAUGAAACUCCAAUAACCUUAGAAGGAGAGCGUUGAGUGUUGGUAUUUUUGAGGGAUUUCAACAGAGUUUUUCUCAGUGCGGAGGGUAGAAUUCAGUCCUCUUCAAUGAAGCAAUGGUCAUGUUUUAUAAUGAGAUAUUGGGAAGUUCAUAUGUCGGUUUCCUUUCUUCAAACAUGUGAGAUCGUUAGAGGAUAUUGAGGGAGUGGGGAGUUAGAAUUUACUUGAAGCUUGAGAAAGUUGUGGAGCAGCGUUGCAUAGGUG
RNAcentral lists this long non-coding RNA (7042 nucleotides) under Lathyrus oleraceus (garden pea). Its description in RNAcentral is "Pisum sativum (pea) long non-coding RNA (PSAT_LNC003949)". The record is from RNAcentral. Lineage: Eukaryota; Viridiplantae; Streptophyta; Magnoliopsida; Fabales; Fabaceae.